Molecule: long non-coding RNA, 391 nt
Filed under: Rattus norvegicus (Norway rat)
Lineage: Eukaryota; Metazoa; Chordata; Mammalia; Rodentia; Muridae
Description: long non-coding RNA NONRATT019486
Source: RNAcentral
AGAGCCAAGCUGCGCAGUCAAACACGGGUUGGGGCGGCAGCUGAAGACGCCAACUUAAAAGCGCGUAGCCAGAACCCAGGCAGCAGGGAGCUCCAGGACCUGCAGGAUGGGGGCAGGCUGUGUCAAAGUCACCAAGUACUUCCUCUUCCUCUUCAAUCUGCUGUUCUUUAUCCUGGGUGCUGUGAUCCUGGGCUUUGGGGUGUGGAUUCUUGCAGACAAGAGCAGCUUCAUUUCUGUCCUACAAACCUCAUCCAGCUCGCUGCAGGUGGGGGCAUACGUCUUCAUUGGUGUGGGCGCCAUCACCAUGCUGAUGGGCUUCCUGGGCUGUAUUGGUGCUGUCAAUGAGGUCCGCUGCCUGCUGGGUCUGUACUUCGUCUUCCUUCUGCUGAUU